AAUGUACACUGUAUACACGGGCAAUUAAACGCUGAAGCAGCCAUUGGCUUUUUCCUGUUACCUUUCGUCGUUCCGCCGAAUCCGCCCUAGGCGUUCUCCACUCCGACUCUCUCUCUAUCUCUCUCAUCCGGAACCCACCAUUUCCGGAUCUGACGCCACAACAUGAGUCUCCGGCAACGCCCAUCUCGGGCCCCUUCUGAAUUCGAGCCCUACAAUAUCAUCCCUAUCCACAACCUCCUCGCCGACCACCCCUCCCUCCGGUUCCCGGAGGUCCGCGCCGUCACCACCGCGCUCCGAGCUGUUGGGGAUCUCCGCAAGCCCCCUUACUGCCGAUGGGAACCGCAAAUGGACCUCCUCGACUGGCUCGCCAUCUUCUUCGGCUUCCAGACCGACAAUGUUCGGAACCAGCGCGAGCACCUGGUCCUCCAUCUUGCCAACGCCCAGAUGCGCCUUUCCCCUCCUCCCGACAACAUCGACGCCCUCGACGCCUCCGUUCUGCGUAAGUUCCGCCGGAAACUCCUCCGCAAUUAUACCGCCUGGUGCUCCUACCUCGGCAAGAAAUCCAACAUCUGGAUCUCCGACCGCACUCAGGCCGCCUCCGAACACCGCCGCGACCUCCUCUACGUCUCUCUCUACCUCCUCGUCUGGGGCGAGUCCGCCAAUCUACGCUUUGUCCCCGAAUGCAUUUGCUUUAUUUUCCAUAACAUGGCCAUGGAACUGAACAAGAUUCUGGAGGGUUACAUAGACGAGAACACGGGUCAACCGGUGAUGCCCUCGAUUUCGGGCGAGAACGCGUUCUUGAACUGCGUUGUGAAACCGAUAUACGAGACGAUUAGGACCGAGGUUGAGAGUAGUAAGAACGGAACUGCGCCGCACAGUGUGUGGCGCAACUACGAUGAUAUCAACGAGUAUUUUUGGAGUAAAAGGUGUUUUCAGAAGCUCCAGUGGCCGAUCAAGUUAGAUAGUACUUUUUUCGUGACUACUGGUAGAGCGGGGAGACAUGUGGGGAAGACCGGCUUCGUGGAGCAGAGGUCGUUUUGGAACUUGUUUAGGAGUUUCGAUAGGUUAUGGGUGAUGCUGGUGUUGUUUUUGCAGGCGGCUAUUAUUGUUGCAUGGGAGGGGAAGGAUUAUCCAUGGCAGGCAUGGAAGAGCAGGUAUGUGCAGGUGCGUGUUUUGACUGUGUUUUUCACGUGGAGUGGGUUGAGGUUCUUGAAGUCCUUGUUGGACGCCGGGAUGCAGUAUAAUUUGGUCUCAAGGGAGACGUUGGGGCUUGGGGUGAGGAUGGUGAUGAAGAGCGUGGUUGCUGCCACUUGGAUUCUGGUUUUCGGGGUGUUUUAUGGCAGGAUAUGGUCGCAGAAGAACGCUGAUAGGAGGUGGUCCCCUGAGGCAGAUAGAAGGGUGGUGACUUUUCUUGAGGUGGCGCUGGUUUUCGUGUUGCCGGAGCUUCUGGCAGUGGCACUGUUUAUAAUUCCGUGGAUCAGGAAUUUUCUUGAGGAGACAAACUGGAGGAUCUUUUAUAUGUUGUCAUGGUGGUUUCAGAGCAGGACUUUUGUGGGUCGUGGGUUGACGGAGGGUCUCGUGGAUAACAUCAAGUACACUUUGUUCUGGGUUUUAGUGCUUGCUACGAAAUUUUGUUUUAGUUACUUUUUGCAGAUUAAACCGAUGAUUGCCCCAUCAAAAGUAAUUUUGAAAGAAACCGUGCAUUAUCAAUGGUAUCAGCUGUUCAAAAACAGUAACAGAUUAGCAGUUGUGCUAUUGUGGCUCCCUGUUAUUUUGAUUUACUUAAUGGAUAUUCAGAUUUGGUACUCAAUCUACUCGUCUCUUGUUGGGGCAGCAGUGGGGUUGUUUCAGCACUUAGGUGAGAUUCGAAAUAUUGAACAAUUGAGGCUGAGGUUCCAGUUCUUUGCAAGUGCCAUUCAAUUCAAUCUCAUGCCAGAGGAGCAGCUGUUAAAUUCAAGGGGGAUGAGGAAUAAGUUUAAGGAUGCCAUCCAUCGGUUGAAACUGAGAUAUGGGCUUGGUCGACAUAGGAAGCUUGAAUCCAACCAGGUUGAGGCAAAUAAGUUUGCUUUGAUAUGGAAUGAAAUCAUUUCGAUAUUCAGGGAAGAAGAUAUCAUCUCUGACCAUGAGCAUGAGCUGUUAGAGCUGCCCCAGAAUUCUUGGAAUGUCAGGGUCAUCCGCUGGCCUUGUUUCCUUCUCUGUAAUGAACUGCUGCUUGCACUCAGUCAGGCGAAAGAGUUAGUAGAUGCUCCUGAUAAGUGGAUCUGGUAUAAGAUAAGAAAGAAUGAGUACAGGCGUUGUGCUGUGAUUGAAGCUUAUGACUCUAUCAGGCACUUGUUGCUUGAGAUUAUCAAAAUAAACACUGAAGAGCAUUCCAUCAUGACCAUAUUCUUUCAAGAGAUCGAUCACUCUAUUCAGAUUGAGAGGUUUACUAAGACAUUUAAUAUGACCGUACUACCCCAGCUUCAUGCCCAGUUGAUCAAACUUGUUCAGCUAUUGAACAAGCCUAAGAAAGAUCCUAGCCAGGUGGUGAAUAUACUGCAGGCCGUAUAUGAGAUUGCUAAACGGGAUCUUUUCAAGGAGAAGAAGAGCAUUGAACAGCUGAGGGAGGAUGGUUUGGCUCCCCGUAGUCCCGCUUCCACUCAGGGGCUGCUUUUUGAGAAUGCUGUCAACUUGCCUGAUCCCAGUAACGAGACUUUCUAUCGGCAGGUUCGGCGGUUGCACACAAUUCUUACCUCUCGGGACUCUAUGCACAAUAUCCCAGUAAAUCUUGAGGCAAGACGCCGAAUUGCCUUCUUCAGUAACUCCCUUUUCAUGAACAUACCCCAUGCACCCCAAGUUGAGAAAAUGAUGGCCUUCAGUGUUCUGACUCCUUACUACAGUGAAGAAGUACUCUUUGGUAAAGAACAACUUAGAAUGGAGAAUGAAGAUGGGGUUUCUAUCAUGUACUAUUUGCAAACAAUUUAUGCUGAUGAGUGGACAAAUUUUAUAGAGAGGAUGCGCCGAGAAGGAAUGGUGAAAGAGGAAGAAUUAUGGACAACGAGGCUAAGGGAUCUUAGGCUUUGGGCAUCAUACAGGGGUCAGACACUUGCCCGCACUGUAAGGGGAAUGAUGUAUUACUAUCGGGCCCUUAAGAUGCUGGCAUUUCUAGAUUCUGCCUCAGAGAUGGACAUCCGGGAAGGAUCACGAGAACUUGGUUCAAUGAGGCGAGAUGAUUUGGAAGGUUACAGCUCGGAAAGGUCACUUUCCUCCAGGAGUUUGGGUAGAACAAGCAGUUCAGUCAAUUUGUUAUUUAAAGGACACGAGUAUGGGACUGCUUUGAUGAAGUUCACUUACGUGGUUGCCUGCCAGAUAUAUGGGACUCAAAAAGCAAAAAAGGAUCCUCAUGCUGACGAAAUCUUGUCUCUUAUGAAAGACAACGAGGCCCUUCGAGUUGCCUAUGUCGAUGAGGUUUCCACUGGGAGGGACGGGAAGGACUACUACUCUGUCCUUGUGAAGUACGAUCACCAAUUGCAGAAGGAAGUGGAAAUCUACCGCAUAAAGUUGCCUGGUCCCUUAAAGCUUGGAGAGGGAAAGCCGGAGAAUCAAAAUCAUGCCAUCAUCUUCACCCGAGGUGAUGCUGUUCAGACUAUUGAUAUGAAUCAAGACAACUAUUUUGAGGAGGCACUCAAAAUGCGUAAUCUGUUGGAAGAAUUCAGGCACAAUUAUGGCAUCCGGAAGCCUACCAUAUUGGGAGUUAGGGAGCACAUUUUUACUGGUUCCGUUUCAUCACUUGCUUGGUUUAUGUCAGCUCAGGAAACGAGUUUUGUCACUUUGGGACAGCGUGUUUUGGCAAACCCCUUGAAAGUUAGAAUGCAUUAUGGCCAUCCAGAUGUUUUUGACAGGUUUUGGUUCUUGACUCGUGGUGGCAUCAGUAAAGCUUCCAGAGUGAUUAACAUCAGUGAGGACAUUUUCGCUGGCUUUAAUUGCACGUUGCGUGGAGGCAAUGUUACCCACCAUGAAUAUAUCCAGGUUGGCAAGGGAAGGGAUGUUGGGUUGAAUCAAGUAUCCAUGUUUGAGGCCAAGGUUUCUAGUGGAAAUGGCGAGCAAGUUCUCAGCAGAGAUGUCUACAGGUUGGGUCAUAGGUUGGACUUCUUCAGGAUGCUGUCAUUCUUUUACACUACUGUGGGGUUCUUUUUCAACACAAUGAUGGUGAUUCUUACUGUAUAUGCAUUUCUGUGGGGACGACUCUAUCUGGCUCUUAGUGGUUUUGAGGAUUCUGUUUUGGCAGAUGACACAAAGAGCAAUAAAGCACUUGUUACAGUCCUGAACCAGCAGUUCAUCAUCCAACUUGGUCUGUUCACUGCCCUUCCAAUGAUAGUGGAGAACUCUCUUGAGCAUGGGUUCCUGAGCGCUAUUUGGGAUUUCUUGACAAUGCAGCUACAGCUGUCAUCUGUCUUUUACACAUUCUCUAUGGGAACGCGUGCCCACUACUUUGGCCGGACUAUUCUUCAUGGUGGUGCAAAAUAUCGGGCCACUGGGCGUGGUUUUGUUGUGCAGCAUAAAAGUUUUGCUGAGAAUUAUAGACUCUAUGCUCGUAGCCAUUUUGUGAAGGCCAUUGAACUUGGGCUGAUUCUGAUAGUUUAUGCAUCACACAGUCCUGUAGCUGGAAAUACAUUUGUUUACAUAGCCAUGACCAUCACAAGUUGGUUCCUUGUUGUCUCAUGGAUUAUGACCCCAUUUGUGUUUAAUCCUUCUGGAUUUGAUUGGUUGAAGACUGUUUAUGAUUUUGAUGACUUUAUGAACUGGAUUUGGUACUAUGGCAGCGUGUUUGCAAAAUCUGAACAGAGCUGGGAAAGAUGGUGGUAUGAGGAGCAGGAUCAUCUUAGGACGACUGGCUUGUGGGGAAAGAUACUGGAAAUUAUCUUAGACCUUCGAUUUUUCUUUUUCCAGUACGGGAUAGUAUACCAGUUAAAUAUUGCUGCCGGGAGUACCAGUAUUGCUGUUUACUUGUUGUCUUGGAUCUAUGUGUUCGUGGCUUUUGGCAUUUACGUGGUAAUAGUAUAUGCUCGGGAUAAAUAUGCAGCAAAAGAACACAUUUACUAUCGUCUAGUCCAGUUCCUUGUUAUUAUACUUGUGAUAGUUGUGAUAAUUGCCCUGCUGGAAUUCACUGAGUUCACAUUUAUUGAUAUUUUCACUAGUUUGUUGGCAUUCAUCCCCACAGGGUGGGGCAUGAUAUUGAUUGCCCAAGUAUUCCGGCCCCUUUUGCAGCACACUAUACUUUGGGACUCUGUUGUUUCUGUGGCCCGACUAUAUGAUAUAAUUUUUGGAGUCAUUGUCAUGGUUCCUGUGGCAUUACUGUCAUGGUUGCCUGGUUUUCAGUCAAUGCAGACAAGAAUUCUUUUCAAUGAAGCAUUUAGUAGGGGACUCCGCAUUUUCCAGAUUGUAACAGGAAAAAAAUCUAAAGUUGAUUCAUGAUUUGAGGUCUGGUUUGUGAGGUGGUGUAAAGGAACGGGAGAAGUUGAGGGGCAGGAUCUUUUUUAUUAUAUAUCUGCUUCGUGGAGGUUCUUUUGUGUAUGUCUGUUUAGAUUCCAUUAUGUUCCAUUCCUGCAGCAGGGAGGGGAGCUCUUGGAUAUUGUGCUUUUACUUCCCACUUUUUCUUCAAAAGUUAGAGCUCUUCGCAUAGUGUAUGCACUCUGCACCGGGUAAAGAGCCUAGUUUAGUAGUUUGCUCAGAUUACAAUCUAACCAGACUGACUCUUAGAAGGAAGGAAUUUAACAACUUCAUUGAACGAGGAAGGGGGGAGUGGCUAUGGUUUUGUGGGUUUGUGGAGAAGAUGAAGAAUUCUAAAGCUGAGAAUGAGACUAUGAAGGGAGAUGAAAUCACAGACCUAGAAUACGAAAGAGAACAAGGAGCAUACGAAGUGGAAAACCAGAGCUUGCUCACAUGGUAGAAGAAGAUAAGAAGACAAAGCUGUAAAGCCGAUGCAAAGACGUAGGACUCUGUUUGAAAGAUGCGACGAAGAUGCAAACCCUAAGCUAUGAAUAGGAAGGACUUUGUAUUGGAGGGAGGCUUUGAAGGACUUCAUAUUACUUUAUGGGAAGACGAAGGGACGAAGGGCAACGUUGGGAGGGAUGACUUCAUAUUACUCUGUCGUUUUGAUAUAUUAUGGAAACGCAACGUUUCCAUUUUUCCACACUGGUAGUCCCGACUCCUCAGUGUUUACGUUGGGUGCUUGUAUUCAGCAUUUUUCAAUUCACAAUCUCGUGAUAACGUGCAAUAUUUGCAGCAAAUGGAAAUCUCAAAUAAUACUCGGAGACUACCUAAAUGGCAAAGCACUUGGAAACUUUCGUCAAAGUAUUAAUAGAUAAUGUUCUGUUUU
Molecule: RNA transcript, 6358 nt
Organism: Carya illinoinensis
Lineage: Eukaryota; Viridiplantae; Streptophyta; Magnoliopsida; Fagales; Juglandaceae
Gene name: callose synthase 12-like
Exons: 4
Source: RefSeq, a predicted model, not a curated record